RNAcentral lists this ribosomal RNA (253 nucleotides) under uncultured bacterium. Its description in RNAcentral is "partial 16S ribosomal RNA". It matches the Rfam family "Bacterial small subunit ribosomal RNA", at positions 524 to 776 of the family's 1533-position model. The record is from RNAcentral.
AACGUAGGUGGCAAGCGUUAUCCGGAUUUACUGGGCGUAAAGGGUGUGCAGGCGGGGGUGCAAGUGGGGUAUGAAAUCUCCCGGCUUAACCGGGAGGGGUUAUGCCAGACUGCAAUUCUAGAGGACGAGAGAGGGGGGUGGAAUUCCGGGUGUAGUGGUGAAGUGCGUAGAGAUCAGCAGGAACACCAAGGACGAAGGUACCUACCUGGGCAGUAUCUGACACUCAAGUGCGACAGCGUGGGGAGCGAACCGG